UAGCUUGCUAGGUGUCCUUAGUGGCGCACGGGUGAGUAACACGUGGGAACAUACCUCAUAGUACGGAAUAACUGCGGGAAACUGUAGCUAAUACCGUAUAUUCCAGAAAUGGGAAAGAUUUAUCGCUAUGAGAUUGGCCCGCGCAAGAUUAGCUUGUUGGUAAGGUAACGGCUUACCAAGGCUCCGAUCUUUAGCUGGUUUGAGAGGAUGAUCAGCCACACUGGGACUGAGACACGGCCCAGACUCCUACGGGAGGCAGCAGUAGGGAAUAUUGGACAAUGGGGGAAACCCUGAUCCAGCAAUGCAGCGUGAGUGACGAAGGCCUUAGGGUUGUAAAACUCUUUCAUCGGUGAGGAUAAUGACAGUAGCCGAAGAAGAAGGACCGGCUAAUUCCGUGCCAGCAGCCGCGGUAAUACGGAAGGUCCUAGCGUUGUUCGGAAUUACUGGGCGUAAAGCGCAUGUAGGCGGAACAAAAAGUUAGAAGUGAAAUCCCUGGGCUCAACCUAGGAAUUGCUUUUAAAACUUUUGUUCUGGAAUUCAGGAGAGGAAAAUGGAAUUUCCAGUGUAGAGGUGAAAUUCGUAGAUAUUGGAAGGAACACCAGUGGCGAAGGCGAUUUUCUGGACUGAUAUUGACGCUGAGAUGCGAAGGCAUGGGUAGCAAACGGGAUUAGAUACCCCGGUAGUCCAUGCAGUAAACGAUGGGUGCUAGUCGUCGGACUUUUGUUCGGUGUCGUAGCUAACGCGUUAAGCACCCCGCCUGGGGAGUACGGUCGCAAGAUUAAAACUCAAAUGAAUUGACGG
Molecule: ribosomal RNA, 801 nt
Filed under: uncultured Alphaproteobacteria bacterium
Lineage: Bacteria; Pseudomonadati; Pseudomonadota; Alphaproteobacteria
Description: bacterial SSU rRNA
Rfam family: Bacterial small subunit ribosomal RNA
Source: RNAcentral